GAUGAACGCUAGCGGCAGGCUUAACACAUGCAAGUCGAGGGGUAUGCCGAUUUAUCGGCAGAGACCGGCGCACGGGUGCGUAACGCGUAUGCAAUCUACCUUAUACAGAGGGAUAGCCCAGAGAAAUUUGGAUUAAUACCUCAUAGUAUUUUCGGAUCGCAUGAUUUGAUUAUUAAAGUUCCAACGGUAAAAGAAUGAGUAUGCGUCCCAUUAGCUAGAUGGUAAGGUAACGGCUUACCAUGGCAAUGAUGGGUAGGGGUCCGUGAGAGGGAGAUCCCCCACCACUGGUACUGAGACACGGACCAGACUCCUACGGGAGGGCAGCAGUGAGGAAUAUUGGUCAAUAGGGCGCAAGACCUGAACCCAAGCCAUGCCGCGUGCAGGAAGAC
This 389-nucleotide ribosomal RNA is filed under the name uncultured bacterium. RNAcentral describes it as "bacterial SSU rRNA". It matches the Rfam family "Bacterial small subunit ribosomal RNA", at positions 28 to 412 of the family's 1533-position model. The record is from RNAcentral.